UACGUAGGGUGCGAGCGUUGUCCGGAAUUACUGGGCGGAAAGAGCUCGUAGGUGGUUUGUCGCGUUGUUCGUGAAAACUCACAGCUUAACUGUGGGCGUGCGGGCGAUACGGGCAGACUGGAGUACUGCAGGGGAGACUGGAAUUCCUGGUGUAGCGGUGGAAUGCGUAGAUACUGGGAGGAACACCGGUGGCGAAGGCGGCUACCUGGACCGGUUCUGACACUGAUGCGCGAAAGCGUGGGGAGCAAACAGG
RNAcentral lists this ribosomal RNA (253 nucleotides) under uncultured bacterium. Its description in RNAcentral is "partial 16S ribosomal RNA". It matches the Rfam family "Bacterial small subunit ribosomal RNA", at positions 524 to 776 of the family's 1533-position model. The record is from RNAcentral.